AGAACCAAUGCCAUCCUCAAGACUGCUUGGUUAACUCCUCAUUCCCGGCAUUAAUUGCUCACAACAACUUAUCUCAACCCCUUGGUAUUCCAAACUACAUAAGACCCCAUUUUACUGAAUUCACAAGGACAAAAAGCAGUUAUGGUCUUGGCCAUCAAAGCUAUAGCAGCAAUGCUUGGAAACUGCUCCUUCUGGAAGUUGUGUACUGCUGCCUUUGAACUCUGAGGUUCACAAAUCACCACAGCUUCAGGCUUCUUUUUGGAAGAAGAGGCUGGUUUAUGACACCACCUUUGGAUCCAAGCAUGCGAAAGUGUUAUGUCUUGACUUUUCCUCACUGAGUCGGUGGACGAGGAUUCAGCAUUCCUCAGUAAUUCUGCAGUCUGAUCCGUCACCAUCCGUUCUUUACAAUAAGACUUGUCCAUCUUUGGUUCUGAACUAGUUUUGCAAGAGCUAGGUAUUUUGCCGAAGAACCUGUUAACUUUUUCAUGGGAAGUGGCUUCCCCC
RNAcentral lists this unclassified non-coding RNA (504 nucleotides) under Hevea brasiliensis (rubber tree). Lineage: Eukaryota; Viridiplantae; Streptophyta; Magnoliopsida; Malpighiales; Euphorbiaceae. The record is from RNAcentral.